CUGCGAAGCCCUUCAAGUCAGGGGUCUUUUCCUGAACUUCCAUCUCCAGUGCUUUGGUCAGCACUUCCAGAAACUGCCUGAUAGUGGGACCACGUCAGCCUCCUACCUUUCGGAGAUCCGUCUCCCUCACUCUGCUUUUGUGUACUUGAUUGCCAAGUUGUGACGCUUAGUGCCCCAGACUGGCAGAGACCCCUGUGUCCACAUGGUCCCAAAUAGAGACCACUAUGUCUACUGGUCGCUGUUUAGCAGUGUGACCUUGAAAAACUCACAUUUCAUUUGUCCUUCGGUGUCUGAAUUUUGUUUUGUUUUGUCUUAUUUUAUUUUAUUUUUUUUGGUAGUGCUAGGGUGUGAAAUCAGUGCCCCAUGAAUGCUAAACACAUGUUCAGCCAUGAAGCUACAUCACCAACCCUAGUGUCUUAGUUAGAAAUGAGAAUGUAAUGCAGAACUUCAUGAGAACUAAUUAAAAGAAUAGCUAGCGUGAUGAUUCAGAUAUAGUAGGUGCACAAUAAAUUGUUCUUUUCCUAUACUCUUAAUCAAUGGCUUUCAUAUUUUUUAAAAUCCUCUUUACUUCAUACUAGAUUAUUAUAAUGGCUACACUAUCUUUCCUGACAUUUUAAAGUCUCUCGUGCCUCUAGGAUAACUUUAGAUAUUGCAACCAGAUUAAAUAUUUAUAUAAUCUUCACUGUGUGUUAAAUACUAGGCCUUUUCUGUCCCAUGGUUUAAAAUAAUCCAGCAAGCAAAGAAACUCACCGUGACUAUGAACCUAGAAAGUAAAUGCACACUUUAGUUGACAGCUUUGCUAUAACCUGUUUUGUGUGCCCCACAGGCCGCCACCCACCUCAAUACUUUUCACUCCUUUUUCC
Molecule: long non-coding RNA, 863 nt
Filed under: Mus musculus (house mouse)
Lineage: Eukaryota; Metazoa; Chordata; Mammalia; Rodentia; Muridae
Description: long non-coding RNA chr9:47677987-47678850
Source: RNAcentral